Molecule: small nucleolar RNA, 114 nt
Filed under: Mus pahari (shrew mouse)
Lineage: Eukaryota; Metazoa; Chordata; Mammalia; Rodentia; Muridae
Description: snoRNA (MGP_PahariEiJ_G0034141.1)
Source: RNAcentral
AUGCAGGUACAGUUACAAUGUUUCAUUGUCUUUGCCCCUGCUUAAAGCCUUUUAUGCAUUACUAUAGCUGCCUAGCUCUACCAUAGUAAGGCAGAGACACUUGGUUUCUAACAU